AUGAAUCUCAUAAGUUGGAACUGCCGAUGAGGGGGGAAUUCCCGGACAGUUCGUGAAAUUGCGACUUUAUCUCAGUCGCACUCCCCCAAGUUUGUAUUUUUAUGUGAAACAAGGCAAAAGGAGAGUAAGAUGAGGAGGUUGCGUGGUCGGUUGGGCUUGAAGGGCUUCAAAGGGGUUGAUAGUAAUGGAAUGAGUGGGGGAUUAGAUUUUUAUUUGCAUGAGUCCUACAUUGUGGAGAUCCUAGACAAAGAGGACAGAUAUAUUGAUGCUCUGGUUAGAAUGUAUGAGGGUGGAGAACAGUGGAGAAUCACAUGUGUGUAUGGAGAACCAAGGACUGAGAAUCGUCACCUCAUGUGGUCAAAACUACAAAGUCUAAAAAAUGUUACUAAUCUUCCAUGGUUAGUGAUUGGAGAUUUCAAUGAAGCUCUAUGGAGCUUUGAACAUUUCUCCACGACGCCAAGAGCUGAAUCGCAGAUGCUUGCUUUCAGAGAUACGUUGGAGGUGUGUGGACUAGUUGAUUUGGGCUUUGUUGGGGUACCUUUCACUUAUGACAAUAUGCGGAGUGGUCAUAAUAAUGUCAGAGUUCGACUAGACAAGGCGGUUGCAAGUAAUUCAUGGAGGAAUCUGUUUGCAUUCUCAUCGGUGGUCCAUGUACCAUCGCCACGCUCAGACCACGUCGCCAUCGUUUUGAAAGGGGAGACUGAACAACAUAAAAUCAUGGGUGGUGGAAGGCGGUACGAGCUUCUCUAG
RNAcentral lists this ribosomal RNA (750 nucleotides) under Triticum aestivum (bread wheat). Its description in RNAcentral is "partial small subunit ribosomal RNA". The record is from RNAcentral. Lineage: Eukaryota; Viridiplantae; Streptophyta; Magnoliopsida; Poales; Poaceae.